AUAUCAAUAAGCGGAGGAAAAGAAACCAACAGGGAUUGCCCCAGUAACGGCGAGUGAAGCGGCAACAGCUCAAAUUUGAAAUCUGCCUCCGGCCCGAGUUGUAAUUUGUAGAGGAUGUUUCGGGUACCGCCUCGGUUUAGAUUCUUUGGAACAGGAUGCCAUAGAGGGUGAGAGCCCCGUCUUGGACCAGGGUAGGACCAUGUGAAACUCCUUCGACGAGUCGAGUUGUUUGGGAAUGCAGCUCAAAAUGGGUGGUAAAUUUCAUCUAAAGCUAAAUAUUGGCCAGAGACCGAUAGCGCACAAGUA
This 306-nucleotide ribosomal RNA is filed under the name uncultured Leotiomycetes. RNAcentral's name for it is "partial large subunit ribosomal RNA". It matches the Rfam family "Eukaryotic large subunit ribosomal RNA", at positions 40 to 350 of the family's 3401-position model. Lineage: Eukaryota; Fungi; Ascomycota; Leotiomycetes. The record is from RNAcentral.